UUGCCUGAAAUGUCGAUUCUUCUGCUCCUUGGAUGCUGCCUGACCUGCUGUGCUUUUCCAGCACCACAUCACUAUUAUAGUCUACAUUCUUUAAUACUCAAUAUUCACUCACGAUGAAGCUUUUGUUAAAGAUAUAAUUGUCACCAAAACAAUCUAGACUAGGACUUAAGUAAUAGUUCAAGAAAUUCAGUCUGUAUACUGCUGUGAAUCAUUGCAUAGUAUAGCACCGAAAAUGACUUUGAAAGAGGAGCAAUUAAUCCCACUUGGCUGAUCUUUUCCCACAGAGUGCAUCUUCUGCAUUUUAUUUGCUUGCUUGUUCAUUUACAGUAGUUUUGGCAAGUCUAUUCUCUUAAAACUUAGAGCGAAACAAUUACUGUAGUUUAGUGGAGAGGGUAAAGCUAACCAAGCCUCUGUUGACAAAGUCUGUUUUCAUGUUAUUGUGUUUCUAGUGCUUGUUCUGUGAAAGAUAGUAUCUUCAGAAUCCACCUGUGCUCAUUGUAAAGACAACCAUGUCAGGGAGAAUAAAGCGUUACAAAUUAUAUUUGGCAUAUGUGUUUUUUCUAAAUAUCAAAUUUUAGUAAAUGGCAUGGCUGGAUUUGAACCUAUCACAUCAGCCUGGGUUUCUGGAUUACCAACAUCAUCACUGUACCACCACUUCCCCUUUUCUCCUUAGCUAGGAUGCAAAGUGAACUCAUUCAUUUGUUGUUCAUCUGAGAACUGGGUUAACCCUUCCUUGAGUAAGAAUGAAGUUGAAAAUAAAAUUCUUAAAACAGAGGACCUGAUAGGUUGGAUUUUAAGAAAUCUCACACACUCACACACACACACACACACAAACAGCUGGAUGUGUUUUCAGUGGUGUGUACAGCAUAUAAAAUUCAAGGGGAUACAUGCCACUGCCGUCCUGUUCAAGUCCCUAUAAAUAUGUUGGAUACUUGUAUAACAAAAUGGAUUUUCUGUCUUUGAUUUUUGUAUCUUCUAAUCCAUUGUUCAGGGAUGUUAUUACGGAUCUCUGAAACAUCUGGAACUUCAACCCAGGCCUCCUGGCUUAGAGAGAUGCCAGGCCUAUAGUUUCUCUAGCGUUUUCUGCUUUAGAAAAAGCUGACAGCCUUCUUAGCAACAUUCAAGUCACUCAUACAGUUCUACCUUCCAUCUGGUGAGGUGCUGAGCCGGAGCACUAAUAGCAGCAGAAACAUGCCAGUCAUUCUUCUGCCACUGUAUGGAACUGAAGAGAUUAAGAAAUCUCCAGGUCGUAAGAGCCACUAAACCCAGUUCAUGUGGAGGAUGAACUUUCCAAACGUGACUGAGCACUGAUGGCUUAGAAGAUAACUUUUAUACUGGGUAAACACUGAUAUUUGAAACCUCCUGGAACAAGGUGUCCUUCCAAUUGGACCAGGUGGGCAUACUUUCCAGCAAUGUUGAAGCCAAGUCCAGGGAAAUCAC
This is a non-coding RNA of Chiloscyllium plagiosum (whitespotted bambooshark), 1440 nucleotides long. NCBI's taxonomy places the organism in Eukaryota, Metazoa, Chordata, Chondrichthyes, Orectolobiformes, Hemiscylliidae. The record is from RefSeq and is a predicted model, not a curated record.